UACGAAGGGGGCUAGCGUUGCUCGGAAUCACUGGGCGUAAAGGGUGCGUAGGCGGGUCUUUAAGUCAGGGGUGAAAUCCUGGAGCUCAACUCCAGAACUGCCUUUGAUACUGAAGAUCUUGAGUUCGGGAGAGGUGAGUGGAACUGCGAGUGUAGAGGUGAAAUUCGUAGAUAUUCGCAAGAACACCAGUGGCGAAAGCGACACCCUGGCAUUAGCCUGACGCUCAUGUGCGAAGGCGUGGGGAGCGAACGGG
Molecule: ribosomal RNA, 253 nt
Filed under: uncultured bacterium
Lineage: Bacteria
Description: partial 16S ribosomal RNA
Rfam family: Bacterial small subunit ribosomal RNA
Source: RNAcentral